UGCGUAUCCGUGCCUGCUCCUGCU
RNAcentral lists this microRNA (24 nucleotides) under Gallus gallus (chicken). RNAcentral's name for it is "microRNA Ros-gga". Lineage: Eukaryota; Metazoa; Chordata; Aves; Galliformes; Phasianidae. The record is from RNAcentral.